RNAcentral lists this long non-coding RNA (544 nucleotides) under Hordeum vulgare. Its description in RNAcentral is "long non-coding RNA (HVUL_LNC008892)". Lineage: Eukaryota; Viridiplantae; Streptophyta; Magnoliopsida; Poales; Poaceae. The record is from RNAcentral.
CUUUUUCAAAAAAAAAAAACGAAAUUUAGAUUCGCCUCGAUUUGUUUCCCCUCUCCUCUCUGUCUGCCGCCGUCGUUGCUGGCCUCCUCCGGCAACUGCGCACGGAAUCCGCCCCACGUCCGUGAUCUCACCCGCGCCGAAUCCCAUACCAGCAUGUCGGCGGUCUGCAUGGGGCGUGGCGGGGGCGGCGAGGGAGAAGGUGGUGCUCUCACGGAGGAUGAGGGGCGGCACAAAUUCGGGCUAUCUUCUCGAUUUCAGUCCGCGCUUGGGGCUCGGUGCUCUGGUCCGCGCCGCCGGUGGGAAAGCACCGCAAGGCGAGGGAGAGGCAAGGGAUGGACAACCUUCUGCUCAGUUUUCCUUUACCGAUUUGUUUACCUUUAGUGUGAGAUUUUCUUUUUGACGUACCUUUAGUGUGAGAGUUGUUCAGGUAGGAAAUUGCCCCUGUUGGUCCAAUUGAAUAGACGUCCGCGCCUCACCAACCAAAUCGGAUGGUGCUAUCAUAUUCUCGGUUGGUUUGCUGGUAGAGACUUACUCCCUCCGUUCC